This 48-nucleotide non-coding RNA is filed under the name Schistosoma curassoni. Lineage: Eukaryota; Metazoa; Platyhelminthes; Trematoda; Strigeidida; Schistosomatidae. The record is from RNAcentral.
AUCCAGCUGAUGAGUGCCGAAUAGGACGAAAUGUGUAUCCAGAUGGAU